This 51-nucleotide ribosomal RNA is filed under the name Plumbago auriculata (Cape leadwort). Its description in RNAcentral is "partial 18S ribosomal RNA". The record is from RNAcentral. Lineage: Eukaryota; Viridiplantae; Streptophyta; Magnoliopsida; Caryophyllales; Plumbaginaceae.
GAGGAAGGAGGAAUAAUCGUAACAAGGUUUCUGUAGGUGAACUGCGGAAGG